GAAAAUAAACCCAGAAGCAACUAGCCAAACAAGCCCUCUAUUCGUCCAUAGCUUUUUGAUUAGCCAUCCUGUCUGUAUCUCUGAAAAGGUUUUUUAAAAAUCUUGUAACUAUCAAUUGGAAGUGGAACCCUGUUUUCAUAAACCAGUUCAAAGUUUCCAGCAAACAACCGACCUUCCAAGGGAUUUAUCUAAGUCCUCAAAAUUGAUAUGAACAUGAAAUUUGUACUCACUUAAAAUAGAGUGAUAGAUCUUUAAAAUUCUUUUAAAAUGAACUCAAAAUUCUAUUUAAAUUAAAAGUUAUAGCGUUUGGAAGUUGGUACUGCAGAACCAGAAAAGCAGAAAAAUCUGCAGCGACCACUAAAAUUCAAAAAAUCAUAUCUUCCAAACCACUUGACCAAAUUCCCUGAAAUUUUUAUGAAAUAUCCAAGACACACUAAAAUUUUACAGAAAAAUACUUUCAUCUAAAAAUUAGGUCUGGACUGCUCCCAAAAAGUCAUUCGUUCUGCUGCCAGUUAAGCAGCUUUCUGCUAAAUUCUGCACAAAAUAUUUCUAACAACCUCACAUACCAAAUCAUAUAUUUAAGCCUAGGAAUCAUCUAAAACCACAUUUCUAACCUUCUUUUGACUUAACGAAGUUGCCCAAGAACUCUUAAUUCAAUAUAUCACAAUUUCACAUCAUAGGUGCAACAUAACCAUAUUAUCACCUCAUCCAUUCUUUAGCAUCUCAAGUUAUGAUUCAUCAAAUAUAUUUCCAGCAGCCAUCUCAAUAUUCCAUACUCAAAAUCAUCAUCAACAAGUACUAACAGCAAGUAUAACUUCAAAAUACACAACAUCAUCAAUCACAGCUAUGAUUCAACUCAAUUCCAAGAAUUAUUCACAGAAGCAACCAUAAACUAUUUACAAUUACUCAUUUAAUUUUAUUGGCAUUCAUAAUUUAAAACCUUUAUUUUUAAAAAAAAUCUCGUACCUCAGUUAGGCGAAACCGCAGAAUUUAAACACGACAAACCCACUUUCUCUAAAUUCACAGCUGCAGCUGCUUAGAACCAGCAGUAGCAACAGCAGUAACAUUAUCAAAAAUCAUAGCUAUAUGGGCUGAAACGAAAUAAAACGAGAAUAGGGUAACAAAUAAAAUAGCAGCAGAGCAAGAAUGGAAAAAGAGCAAAUUAGAGGAAGGGACCUAGACCAUAUCAGAGGUACGUCGACGGCAUCCCCUUUUUUUACUGAAACCGCAACGUUGACGAUGCAGCAGCGGUGGCGGCUGAACAGCCCUCUGUCUCUCGGCACCAGCCUCACACGACUCCUUUCCUUGUACUCAAGUCCCCUCUCUCCUUUUCGCACAUGCAACAGACAACGGCGGCUAUCACUAGAGCCUUCGGUAGUGGCAACGGGGUCACGGCGUGGCGGCGAUGACAGAGCCUUGGCGAUGGCGUUGAGCUCCUUACCUCAGCGGCGUUGUCCCCCUUCUCGGCCCUGACCCGAAUCUCCGGCGUCGCAGCAGUGGGCUUCCCUCCUCGGCCAUGGGCUCGCGUUCCUCUCUCGCGUUUCUACUCUCGACGGUGACGCGGUGCGGCGACGGGCGAUGGCGAGCUGGACGCGACGGCACAGCAGCAGCUUCACCCUCCUUCCUCCUUCUUUUUCGAAAGCUCUCUUCCUCUGUUUUCCUUUUCUCAGACUUCCCCUCUCUUUCUUUCAUCUUUCCACUAUUAGUGUAUGUGUGUGUCUUGUAUGGGUGUGGGUAAGAG
This 1741-nucleotide long non-coding RNA is filed under the name Arachis ipaensis. RNAcentral's name for it is "long non-coding RNA (AIPA_LNC002029)". The record is from RNAcentral. Lineage: Eukaryota; Viridiplantae; Streptophyta; Magnoliopsida; Fabales; Fabaceae.